RNAcentral lists this long non-coding RNA (402 nucleotides) under Bos taurus (domestic cattle). RNAcentral's name for it is "long non-coding RNA NONBTAT023316". Lineage: Eukaryota; Metazoa; Chordata; Mammalia; Artiodactyla; Bovidae. The record is from RNAcentral.
CUCUUUCUAAUAAAAAUGAGCCCUACCUAUGUAGCACUAGGUCUUAACCCUAAAUUCAAAACAGGCACACCGUUUUCUUUAGGCAUACCUCCUCUACACAACGAUGGGGGGUGGAGACUAUAAAUGCCCUGUUCUCUCUAAAGUAUGGGUAUCAAUAUCUAGGGCAAACACGUAGUACUUAAUUUAAGGUUAAAACAAAUAGUAAAUGGCUAUUUAAGCUUUCAUAUCGCUAUUGCAAACAUUUUGGAAAUGUCUGCUACUCCUGCAAUUAACCUGUUCCUCCUUGGUAAUUUUUAAAAGCCUAAUCUAUGGAAUGUUUGAUGAACCUUCCGACCAACACUGGAAACUAAAAGUACAGUCCAAACAUAUUGUGUUCAAUCACCCUAAGAGCCAUUUUUUGUG